GUUAGAGUGGCAGAGUCCGGUAAUUGCAAAAGGCUUAAGCCCUUUCAGCCAGGGGUUCAACUCCCCUCCCUAACU
RNAcentral lists this transfer RNA (75 nucleotides) under Erpetoichthys calabaricus (reedfish). RNAcentral describes it as "tRNA-Leu". It matches the Rfam family "tRNA". From Rfam's summary of the family: Transfer RNA (tRNA) molecules are approximately 80 nucleotides in length. Their secondary structure includes four short double-helical elements and three loops (D, anti-codon, and T loops). Further hydrogen bonds mediate the characteristic L-shaped molecular structure. tRNAs have two regions of fundamental functional importance: the anti-codon, which is responsible for specific mRNA codon recognition, and the 3' end, to which the tRNAs corresponding amino acid is attached (by aminoacyl-tRNA synthetases). tRNAs cope with the degeneracy of the genetic code in two manners: having more than one tRNA (with a specific anti-codon) for a particular amino acid; and 'wobble' base-pairing, i.e. permitting non-standard base-pairing at the 3rd anti-codon position. The record is from RNAcentral. Lineage: Eukaryota; Metazoa; Chordata; Cladistia; Polypteriformes; Polypteridae.